RNAcentral lists this ribosomal RNA (334 nucleotides) under uncultured Anoxybacillus sp. RNAcentral's name for it is "bacterial SSU rRNA". It matches the Rfam family "Bacterial small subunit ribosomal RNA", at positions 1046 to 1382 of the family's 1533-position model. The record is from RNAcentral. Lineage: Bacteria; Bacillati; Bacillota; Bacilli; Caryophanales; Anoxybacillaceae.
UGGUUGUCGUCAGCUCGUGUCGUGAGAUGUUGGGUAAGUCCCGCAACGAGCGCAACCCUCGACCUUAGUUGCCAGCAUUCAGUUGGGCACUCUAAGGUGACUGCCGGCUAAAAGUCGGAGGAAGGUGGGGAUGACGUCAAAUCAUCAUGCCCCUUAUGACCUGGGCUACACACGUGCUACAAUGGGCGGUACAAAGGGUCGCGAACCCGCGAGGGGGAGCCAAUCCCAAAAAGCCGCUCUCAGUUCGGAUUGCAGGCUGCAACUCGCCUGCAUGAAGCCGGAAUCGCUAGUAAUCGCGGAUCAGCAUGCCGCGGUGAAUACGUUCCCGGGCCUU